GUUAAGUCAGGCAACGAACAGACCUGCAUCUAGUUGCCAGCAGAUCCUUCGGGAUGCUGGGUACCCUAGAUGGACCGCCACUGCUAAAGUGGAGGAAGGAGAGGGCGACGGUAGGUCAGUAUGCCCCGAAUCUCCCGGGCUACACGCGGCCUACAAUGGACAGGACAAUGGGCUCCGAUCCCGAAAGGGAAAGGCAAUCCUUUAAACCUGUUCUUAGUUCGGAUUGAGGGCUGUAACUCGCCCUCAUGAAGCUGGAAUCUCUAGUAAUCGCGUGUCAUUAUCGCGCGGUGAAUACGUCCCUGCUCCUU
This 308-nucleotide ribosomal RNA is filed under the name uncultured Thermoplasmata archaeon. RNAcentral describes it as "bacterial SSU rRNA". It matches the Rfam family "Archaeal small subunit ribosomal RNA", at positions 1028 to 1338 of the family's 1478-position model. The record is from RNAcentral. Lineage: Archaea; Methanobacteriati; Thermoplasmatota; Thermoplasmata.